Molecule: ribosomal RNA, 464 nt
Filed under: Vreelandella stevensii
Lineage: Bacteria; Pseudomonadati; Pseudomonadota; Gammaproteobacteria; Oceanospirillales; Halomonadaceae
Description: partial 16S ribosomal RNA
Rfam family: Bacterial small subunit ribosomal RNA
Source: RNAcentral
CCUACGGUGGCUGCAGUGGGGAAUAUUGGACAAUGGGCGAAAGCCUGAUCCAGCCAUGCCGCGUGUGUGAAGAAGGCCUUCGGGUUGUAAAGCACUUUCAGUGGGGAAGAAAGCCUUGGGGCUAAUACCCUCGAGGAAGGACAUCACCCACAGAAGAAGCACCGGCUAACUCCGUGCCAGCAGCCGCGGUAAUACGGAGGGUGCGAGCGUUAAUCGGAAUUACUGGGCGUAAAGCGCGCGUAGGCGGUCUGAUAAGCCGGUUGUGAAAGCCCCGGGCUCAACCUGGGAACGGCAUCCGGAACUGUCAGGCUAGAGUGCAGGAGAGGAAGGUAGAAUUCCCGGUGUAGCGGUGAAAUGCGUAGAGCUCGGGAGGAAUACCAGUGGCGAAGGCGGCCUUCUGGACUGACACUGACGCUGAGGUGCGAAAGCGUGGGUAGCAAACAGGAUUAGAUACCCCGGUAGUC